This is a non-coding RNA of Oryza sativa Japonica Group (Japanese rice), 153 nucleotides long. NCBI's taxonomy places the organism in Eukaryota, Viridiplantae, Streptophyta, Magnoliopsida, Poales, Poaceae. The record is from RefSeq and is a predicted model, not a curated record.
GCCAGCUGAAGAAAGCGCUCGGAGAAGCCACUCGUAUUGUAAAUAGAAUCCAUCUUCGCAAUGAGGCCAAGACUACAACUUUGGAAAAGCUGGUUCCUCAUUUGGGAACUCUAGAAGCAGUUAGGGACCAGCUGCAUGAGGCCAAGGAGUGCG